CCUACGGGUGACAGCAGUGAGGAAUAUUGGUCAAUGGACGAGAGUCUGAACCAGCCAAGUAGCGUGAAGGAUGACUGCCCUAUGGGUUGUAAACUUCUUUUGUCAAGGGACAAAAUCAGGCUCGAGAGCCUGACCGAGGGUACUUGAAGAAAAAGCAUCGGCUAACUCCGUGCCAGCAGCCGCGGUAAUACGGAGGAUGCGAGCGUUAUCCGGAUUUAUUGGGUUUAAAGGGUGCGUAGGCGGACUGUUAAGUCAGCGGUAAAAGCCCGGGGCUCAACCCCGGCGAGCCGUUGAAACUGGCUGUCUUGAGAUGUCGAGAGGUAUGCGGAAUGCGCAGUGUAGCGGUGAAAUGCUUAGAUAUUGCGCAGAACUCCGAUUGCGAAGGCAGCAUACCGGCGGCGAUCUGACGCUGAGGCACGAAAGCGUGGGUAUCGAACAGGAUUAGAUACCCUUGUAGUC
Molecule: ribosomal RNA, 459 nt
Filed under: uncultured bacterium
Lineage: Bacteria
Description: partial 16S ribosomal RNA
Rfam family: Bacterial small subunit ribosomal RNA
Source: RNAcentral